RNAcentral lists this unclassified non-coding RNA (378 nucleotides) under Hevea brasiliensis (rubber tree). Lineage: Eukaryota; Viridiplantae; Streptophyta; Magnoliopsida; Malpighiales; Euphorbiaceae. The record is from RNAcentral.
GUUUUUUCAAUACAAAUAAUUGCUGUUUAUUUGGGAUUACUAAAAAACUACAAUUUGCAAUUCCAUGGAGCAACAAUUCCCUGUUUUAGGAAAAACAACAUAUGAUGAUCCAGGAAGGCCACCAACAGCAAGCAAUAUUUUCUUUCAUCAGGCUGCUCUGCUCAGUCUCAACCGAUCCAUGCGAAUGUAAACUUAUAUUAAAGGGUAUUGAACUGGAAUUGGAGUGGAAACAUGAAUCCCGUAAUCUAAUGUAAACAAAUCGAACUCUUUUAUCCACCAACAACAGAUCAGAUCUGCAAAUAAUCAUGAUCAACCCACCAAUUAAAGAUUCCAAUUGCUUGAUAUUGGGUUUUUUUUUUUUUUUUUUUUAAGAAAGCA